CUUAGAAUUAGGAUUAUUUUUUUGUAGAAACCUUUUCAGUCUCAUUCUCUAUGGCCUGGCCACCACUGCAAUAUCAAAUCAUCCCCAAGGGCCUGCAAGGUAUAUGCUCUUGAGAAUGAUGUAUAUAGCUCUCUGCGGCAGACACAUGCCUCAGAAUAAAUGUUUUUCUAGGUGUUUAAUACAGAGUGUCAAUGGGGAGCUUUCACUUCUUGAUUUGGUUGAUGAACGUUAGAGGGAGCUUACUGAUUCUAUUGAAUUAUUUUUGGGUUACAUGUAGUCAAUCAGAGAAGAAAACAAAUCUUAUUGAGGAAGUUGCAUGUUAGAUUAUGGCCACCGAGGAAUGCAGGUGUGGUAUCCAUCUCGGGGGGUUGACCCUUUUAAGCAGGAGGGUUUCUUGCAAGGACGUUUGUAUUCAAGAAACAGUGUUCUCUGUGUUGUGGAUUGUUGGCAGAUAGUUAUACUAUCUAUAUGGAAUUGAUGCAUAGUAAGUUUUCCCUUAUUAGGAGGAUUAGUUAGAAUUUUCCUCAGUAUAAUUAUGAAUCUUGCACACUUGUGUUAUGAUGGGAGUGCAGUUUAAAUGUGACAACCGAUCAGUUCAACUGUAUUUGCCUGUGUGUUGUUAAAA
Molecule: long non-coding RNA, 625 nt
Organism: Prunus persica (peach)
Lineage: Eukaryota; Viridiplantae; Streptophyta; Magnoliopsida; Rosales; Rosaceae
Exons: 2
Source: RefSeq, a predicted model, not a curated record